This 439-nucleotide ribosomal RNA is filed under the name uncultured bacterium. RNAcentral's name for it is "partial 16S ribosomal RNA". It matches the Rfam family "Bacterial small subunit ribosomal RNA", at positions 339 to 795 of the family's 1533-position model. The record is from RNAcentral.
CUACGGGUCGCUGCAGUGGGGAAUAUUGGACAAUGGGCGCAAGCCUGAUCCAGCAAUGCCGCGUGAGUGAAGACGGCCUUAGGGUUGUAAAACUCUUUCGCUAGGGAAGAUAAUGACUGUACCUAGUAAAGAAGUCCCGGCUAACUCCGUGCCAUCAGCCGCGGUAAUACGGAGGGGACUAGCGUUGUUCGGAAUUACUGGGCGUAAAGAGUUCGUAGGCGGACUGACAAGUUAGAGGUGAAAUCCCAGGGCUCAACCCUGGAACUGCCGUUAAAACUGUCAGUCUAGAGACCGGAGGAGGUUAGGGGAAUACCUAGUGUAGAGGUGAAAUUCGUAGAUAUUAGGUGGAACACCAGUGGCGAAGGCGCCUAACUGGUCCGGUACUGACGCUGAGGAACGAAAGCGUGGGGAGCAAACAGGAUUAGAUACCCUUGUAGUC